AAUACGGAGGGGGCAAGCGUUAUUCGGAAUCAUUGGGCGUAAAGGGCGCGUAGGCGGCUUGGCAAGUCAAAGGUGAAAUCCCUCGGCCCAACCGAGGAACUGCCUUUGAAACUGCUUCGCUUGAGGCCGGGAGAGGGUAGCGGAAUUCCCAGUGUAGCGGUGAAAUGCGUAGAUAUUGGGAGGAACACCAGUGGCGAAGGCGGCUACCUGGACCGGUUCUGACGCUGAGGCGCGAAAGCGUGGGGAGCAAACAGGA
RNAcentral lists this ribosomal RNA (256 nucleotides) under uncultured prokaryote. RNAcentral's name for it is "partial 16S ribosomal RNA". It matches the Rfam family "Bacterial small subunit ribosomal RNA", at positions 522 to 777 of the family's 1533-position model. The record is from RNAcentral.